Molecule: ribosomal RNA, 320 nt
Filed under: uncultured eukaryote
Lineage: Eukaryota
Description: partial 18S ribosomal RNA
Rfam family: Eukaryotic small subunit ribosomal RNA
Source: RNAcentral
CCCCUAGAUGUUCUGGGCCGCACGCGCGCUACACUGAACAGUUCAACAAGUCUUAACCUUGGCCGAUAGGUCUGGGUAAUCUUUGAACGCUGUUCGUGAUAGGGAUAGACCUUUGCAAUUAUGGGUCUUCAACGAGGAAUUCCUAGUAAACGCAAGUCAUCAGCUUGCAUUGAUUACGUCCCUGCCCUUUGUACACACCGCCCGUCGCACCUACCGAUUGAAUGGUCCGGUGAAAUCUCGGGACGGCGGCUUGGUCGCUUGCGUCCGACUGCUGAAACUUGAUUAAACCAUAUCAUUUAGAGGAAGGUGAAGUCGUAACA